Molecule: non-coding RNA, 121 nt
Filed under: Escherichia coli
Lineage: Bacteria; Pseudomonadati; Pseudomonadota; Gammaproteobacteria; Enterobacterales; Enterobacteriaceae
Also listed under: 7 other names
Source: RNAcentral
GAGAGCCGUAUGCAUUGAAAGGUGCACGUACGGUUCGGAGGGGGGGUAACGGUGAUCUAACUCAAGAUAAGCAGGACAUAUUCGCCAUUUAUCUUGAAAGACCACACGUACCCUACCCUAC